UAAUGAAACGAGGAAAAAAUUUGUUAUGAUAUACUACGACGCAUCCAAAUGUAAAGGAUCGGAAUUUAGAUGAAACCGAUGGUACUUCCGAGUAAAUGUACCAACAAUAUAAUAAAUAAAUCAGCAAUUUUACUGCUAGACAAUAUUUCACUGUGAGGCUUAGUCUUGGUAUAAAUAGAGGGACUCUGUCAAAACAAAUAUUUUGAACUAGACUCGAAUUCUUCAUAAUUCUAUUCACUUGAGUGUUUAUUUUUUUUAACAAUGCCAUUACAUUUACGAGAUAUGUGGAUAUCCACUGACGAUUAUAAGGAUGUUUUACUUACGUGUCCUGUGUGGU
Molecule: non-coding RNA, 337 nt
Organism: Schizosaccharomyces pombe (fission yeast)
Lineage: Eukaryota; Fungi; Ascomycota; Schizosaccharomycetes; Schizosaccharomycetales; Schizosaccharomycetaceae
Source: the annotation of a GenBank genome assembly